GAUGAACGCUGGCGGCGUGCCUAAUACAUGCAAGUCGAGCGAACAGACGAGGAGCUUGCUCCUCUGACGUUAGCGGCGGACGGGUGAGUAACACUUGGAUAACCUACCUAUAAGACUGGGAUAACUUCGGGAAACCGGAGCUAAUACCGGAUAAUAUAUUGAACCGCAUGGUUCAAUAGUGAAAGACGGGUUUGCUGUCACUUAUAGAUGUAUCCGCGCCGCAUUAGCUAGUUGGUAAGGUAACGGCUUACCAAGGCCACGAUGCGUAGCCGACCUGAGAGGGUGAUCGGCCACACUAGAACUGAGACACGGUCCAGACUCCUACGGGAGGCAGCAGUAGGGAAUCUUGCGCAAUGGGCGAAAGACUGACGGAGCAACGCCGCGUGAGUGAUGAAGGUCUUCGGAUCGGAAAACUCUGUUAUUCGGGAAGAACAAAUGUGUAAGUAACUAUGCACGUCUUGACGGUACCUAAUCAGAAAACCACGGCUAACUACGUG
Molecule: ribosomal RNA, 497 nt
Filed under: uncultured bacterium
Lineage: Bacteria
Description: partial 16S ribosomal RNA
Rfam family: Bacterial small subunit ribosomal RNA
Source: RNAcentral